UUCUUUCCUGCAGAGAGAAAAGGUGUUAUUGACAAUCCGGAACAAAUCCUCUAAACAAGGGGUUAAAAAUUGUUUGCUCUUCAGAACAAUCCUUUGCAGAACUUCUUUAGAUAUUCUUGUAUCCUUCAUCGAAUUGCACUAGAACUUACUCUUUGCCUUUGUUUCUCCUCCUCUUUUUCUUGCUUUAACAGAGUGUACUCUUUAAGCAUUGCCAUUAGAGGUACCUGUAAUUUUAUAAAGAUUGAUUAUAUAUGGGAUGAAAAAUUUCAGUUGCAUUUCUUUUAGUUGUAGUAUGAGAUAAUAGAAGUCUUAGGUAUUAAUAAAAGAUACAUAUGAUAUCAUAGUGUGUAGUUUGUUGGUUUGGUGCCUGAAAUUACCACAAUUUUGAUUGGUUUGUGGAAGUUUAUAGAAAGAAAAAAUGAAUUUGUUACAGAAAUUGACUGUGCAUGAUACAUAAAAGAAAUCAAAGUAUAGUUUCUGAAUUGAUUAUUCAAUUGACUGAUAAAAAGCAUACUUUAUGUCCUGCUUACAAGCUUAAAGUAUGUUUCAAAUGUCUCUGUAGAGCAAAGUGAACGUUAAAUUUAUGAUAUGUUAUGUAAAGAUUAGUGUAUUUCUCUAUGUGGAGGAAAGCAUGGAUUUUUGUGAAAGAGGUGCCAAGGAUUGCUGGGACUGAUAUAUUAUUCAUGUGAAAAAUGAGAACCAAACUGACGUGCAUCACUGAGGUGCAACACAUAUUUAACUGUGUGAAACCUCUUCGACAUCACACUGGAUGGAGUCAUUUGACAAAAUCCAAACCAAGAUCUUGUUCCUAGGUUUUCUCUCAGUGCCAUUCACAUUGUAAAGCCCAUCAAACUCGAGCAAGAUAACAACUAAGCAGGAAAGCUAACAUGAGUAUUUAUUCAUGUCAGCCUUCUUCUUGAACUUCACUACUUCAAAGAUUCUCUGUCAACUAUCAGAGUUAUAGAUCCAACUGUGCUCACAUUUUUCCUUUCCAUAUCAGUCUUUUUUUCUUUCUCUUUCACCGAAUAAGUCCCAGCAACUAUCUAUGUUAGCAGCAGCACCAGGGCCCAACUAUGCUUUCACAUUUUGCCUCUCCAUAUCGGUCCUUUUUCUUUCUCUUUCACCUAAUGAUUACCAGAAACUGUCUAUGUUAACAACUUGCCUUGACAUCUAUAUGGUGCAUGCCAACAACGGGAAUGGUUAUUAAAGGGUAAGUUGUCCGGUAUUUAAAUUCUUGGAGAGGACUAUUUUAUGGUUUGUAUUCAGGAUUAGCCUUUGAUUCAACUUGCGUUGACACUGCAUGAGACUCGUAGGCUAUUGGGUACCACUACAUGUGCUCUUGCACAUAAGUUGUAAGAUUGAAAGCAGAUUUGAAUUGGCUGGGAUGAUAUGAUCAGGCCUUGGGAUCGAUCGAAUUAGAAUGAUGGGAAUGAACUCGGAUGAAAAAAUAAUUUAGUAAUCAUAAAAUUAUAAGAAUUAUAUAUAAUAUAAAUGGUAGGGCACCACAAAACACAAAAUAAAUUAUGAGAAAAUAAAUAUAUUCUUUGUUAAGAAACCUCUUUAACAUCAUAAUUCAUAACGUGUCUGUCUUUCCCAAAAAACAUAUGAAACUAUUAUAUAAAAUAUAAGAAGUUGUUGAAAAAAUAAUAAUGAAAAUGCUAGAGAAUAAUUCAUUAGAAAUAACAAUUGUAUAUAUUUUUAGAAAAUAAAUGUCAAUCAUAUUGUACAAGACUCUUAUAAUAAAUAACAAUUAUAUAAAUCAUAUAAAAGAUCCAAAAUAUAUCAUAACAAAUCAAGAGAAAACUGUUGGAUUAGUUCUGAAUCUUAUUACAAGAUAUCUAAGAUUAUUCUUUACUCUUCUCUUUUUUUUACUCCAUAUAUCCCUUCCACUCUGUCAAAUGGUAGGUAAUGCAAUCAUGGUGUUAAUGACAAAUGUGAUGAUUGGGCUUUAAUUUUGUAUAAGCAUUUUGGUCUUGUAUAUGGAAGUUAUCCUAUAUGUUGACAAAUCCUCUUUUCCUAGUUCAGUUCAGGAACUUAAAUUUCAUCGCUUGUUCUAUAAGUCUACAGUUUUCCAUAAUACCUCAAUGACAACAAUGUUUUCCUGGUAAUUUUGUUGUUGUAAAAUCUCUGAGGUGAAUUUAUGCAACUGCAGCAUCAAGGCAGCAACUGUCUCUAUUAACUGCUAAAUUAAACUUUUUUCCUUAAAAGGGUCCUACGAAAGAAUGUUGCAUUUCCAACUGGAAAUGAUACCUCCGUACAAUCCGAUAUCUGAACAUGGGAUAAUUUCAUCUCUUCUUUUUCCUUACCUGAGCAAUAUCUUGGUCUUGCAUGCUCAUGUAGGCUGGAAACAUAUGCUGUGCUAGCAGCAACUAAUUUAGGAGAAAGAAAAAAGCAAGACGUUUAUAAAAGAGAAUAUCUUGAUUUGAUUUGCUUUGCUUUUGCAGAAAUUAAGUGAGAGAAUCAGAUCGACAUGGUUUUGUUAGCUUGUCUUGCACAUAGAAAAGAAGGAAAAAGAAAAAAGAAAUUUGCGGCAGGUGUGGAGCAUGUUGUGGUAAAUCCAUAUCAGCGAGUUGUUCCACUUUGCUGUUUAAUCUCUCUAAGAUGGUGUCACUUAUGUUCCUGGAUUGCUGUGCGGUUGAACCACCUAGUAAGCUUGGGUGAAUGUCACUGAUGAUCAUGGAAGCAUCCAUUCCCAUUGUUUCAGCAAGGUUUUGCACCACCUUUAUGUAAUCUUCUACUUUCCGGAGUCUAUCAUUCUUUCAGAGUGAAGAAUGGGUGAAAAUUAAUUGGAUGAUAUAUAGAAGAAAACCGACGCUACCAAGGUUAAAGCUACCUUCUCUUUAUGAAGUCUUUGGAGUUCAUUUUGGUGCUCAUCAAGCUUUUUAAGUGAGAGAUCUCCUUCGUUUACCAGAACAUCGCAAUCCGGUUGAUGACCUGCUACUUCAGAAGCAAUUCUUUGGAUUUGUGUCUGAACCUCCCGGAAUUGGUUCAUCCGCUCUUCUUUCCUUAGCUGCAUUUCAUGAAGUGCAGGAGUGAUUGCAUCAAGCUGCUGCUUCAGUGUACCUGUCAAUUUUUCAGGCUGCUCCAAGAGAAUUUAAGCUGGCUGCACAUUUGGUGCUAUUCUUUUCUUAUUAAAUAUACUAUCAAAAGAAGUCAUCUAUAUCUCACCCGGCCUGAGAAUGAUCGUUCCCCGAGGGACAGGAGAAGGUUAGUGAACUCAGCUUCUGAAUCAGCCAGUGCUUGAUGCAGACGAACUCUCAAGAUAUUUGCACUAUCAACUUUUCUUCUAUACAUGUCGAUACAUUCCUGUUCCAGUUCAAGCAGAAUCCUCUCUCUUUCAAGCUGAUCUUGCCCCACUUCAUCCCAAAUCAGCUGUUAGCAGUUGAUAAAAUGUUCAAAGAAAGUUCAGCUAGUAUCAAUUUCAAGAACCACUGAUAUGGAAAAACCCCAACCCAAACCUUUAGCUCUUGCAGUAGAUAGCCGCAGGAUGAUUCAGGGAUUGCUGAACUUGGGAAACCGGGAAACAUUCCGAAGGAUCCCAUCUCAUAAAUUCUGGAACAGUCUCAGGGAACAGUUUUGUCAAUGUAAGUUCUUCAAGUGGUUGUAAGACAGAGCAGAUUCCCCUGAUCAAGCAUUAUUCAAGGAAGAAAUUAGAGGUGUGGUAUAAAAGGAGGAGAAAGGUGGCAAAGCUGUGAUGGAUGGUGAAAGUGGCCUUCCAAGUUGGUUUUGCUUUGAAGACACGCAGCACAACAGUGAUGGUUCCUUUGAUGAGCUUCAAAGAAAAAUAUUAAUAUAUAUAUAUAUAUAUAUAUAUAUAUAUAUCAAAUACAAGUGCACAAGCUCGCUGGUUCCCUUGUUUUUGAAGGGCCAAUCUUCCUCACUGCUUUCAAUUGUUGACACAUCGUGUUACUGGAAGCUUCAAUCUGAAGGUUAAUGUGUUGGUAAAGCUUUACAAAUGUUUGUCUUCUUUUCCAAGGGAACAUAUGGGUUGGCACAGAAGUGGAUCAGCUCCAUUUACUCGAGUCUCUGGAAUCAGCUGAUUUGCUUGUGAAGAAUGUCAUGCACUAGUUUGCUUCAAGAAAUGCCAAUUACUCCAUCAUUGAUGAGACUCGAAUGACAAUACCCACUUUAUGCUUGUGAUAUGCCUGUGUUUGCACAUGCUCAGCGCAGCCAAAGUUGAGAUUCAUUGUAAAAUUGGUAUAUUUAAACAACAACAAAAAAAGAAGAAAAUGUUACAUGUAUGGGUUGAAUAAUUAUGCACAGAGCAAGCUGAUAUAUCAGACAUCUCCUCGGUUGUUGGAAAGAUGUGGUUUGCAGUGAAAAGAAGAAUUAUCCUUGUAAUCCUUUGAGAGAACCAUCCAAAUGAUUUGGCCUCAA
Molecule: long non-coding RNA, 4377 nt
Organism: Musa acuminata AAA Group (dessert banana)
Lineage: Eukaryota; Viridiplantae; Streptophyta; Magnoliopsida; Zingiberales; Musaceae
Exons: 3
Source: RefSeq, a predicted model, not a curated record